UGCUUCUCCAUCUCCGCGUCAGCUGCCUGCUUCUGCCGCAGGGCCGCCUGCUCCGCCUGUGCCCGCCGCGCCGCCUCUUGCUCGGCCUCCUUGCGCAGCUUCUCUGCAGCCGCCUGUGCCUGAGCCCGGGCCUGUGCCUGCUCCUCUGCCGACUGCUUCAGCCGCUCGGCCUCUUCCACCUGCCGCCGGGACUGCGCCGCCUCACGCUCCGCCUGCACCCGGGCCUCCUCCGCCUCCUC
RNAcentral lists this long non-coding RNA (239 nucleotides) under Homo sapiens (human). Its description in RNAcentral is "LHRI_LNC1462.1". The record is from RNAcentral. Lineage: Eukaryota; Metazoa; Chordata; Mammalia; Primates; Hominidae.